This 1047-nucleotide ribosomal RNA is filed under the name uncultured bacterium. RNAcentral describes it as "bacterial SSU rRNA". It matches the Rfam family "Bacterial small subunit ribosomal RNA", at positions 26 to 1032 of the family's 1533-position model. The record is from RNAcentral.
GGAAAAAGGGGGGGGCGGGCCUAACACAUGCAAGUCGAGCGGAAACGAGUUAACUGAACCUUCGGGGAACGUUAACGGCGUCGAGCGGCGGACGGGUGAGUAAUGCCUGGGAAAUUGCCCUGAUGUGGGGGAUAACCAUUGGAAACGAUGGCUAAUACCGCAUAAUAGCCCGGUUCUUCGGAAUGGGUCUCAAAGAGGGGGACCUUUUAGGCCUCUCGCGUCAGGAUACGCCCAGGUGGGAUUAGCUAGUUGGUGAGGUAAUGGCUCACCAAGGCGACGAUCCCUAGCUGGUCUGAGAGGAUGAUCAGCCACACUGGAACUGAGACACGGUCCAGACUCCUACGGGAGGCAGCAGUGGGGAAUAUUGCACAAUGGGCGCAAGCCUGAUGCAGCCAUGCCGCGUGUAUGAAGAAGGCCUUCGGGUUGUAAAGUACUUUCAGCAGUGAGGAAGGUGGGUAUGUUAAUAGCAUACACAUUUGACGUUAGCUGCAGAAGAAGCACCGGCUAACUCCGUGCCAGCAGCCGCGGUAAUACGGAGGGUGCGAGCGUUAAUCGGAAUUACUGGGCGUAAAGCGCAUGCAGGUGGUUUGUUAAGUCAGAUGUGAAAGCCCGGGGCUCAACCUCGGAAUUGCAUUUGAAACUGGCAAACUAGAGUACUGUAGAGGGGGGUAGAAUUUCAGGUGUAGCGGUGAAAUGCGUAGAGAUCUGAAGGAAUACCGGUGGCGAAGGCGGCCCCCUGGACAGAUACUGACACUCAGAUGCGAAAGCGUGGGGAGCAAACAGGAUUAGAUACCCUGGUAGUCCACGCCGUAAACGAUGUCUACUUGGAGGUUGUGGCCUUGAGCCGGGGCUUUCGGAGCUAACGCGUUUAAGUAGACCGCCUGGGGGAGUACGGUCCCAAAGAUUAAGAACUCAAAUUGAAAUUGACGGGGGGCCCCGCACAAACCGGUGGGAGCAUGGGGGUUUAAUUCCGAUGCAACCGCGAAAAAACCUUUACCUUACUCUUUGACAUCCUACCCGAAGGCCAAGCGGGAGACCCCAGGUUGU